GACGAACGCUGGCGGCGUGCUUAACACAUGCAAGUCGAACGGAAAGGCCCUGCUUUUGUGGGGUGCUCGAGUGGCGAACGGGUGAGUAACACGUGAGUAACCUGCCCUUGACUUUGGGAUAACUUCAGGAAACUGGGGCUAAUACCGGAUAGGAGCUCCUGCUGCAUGGUGGGGGUUGGAAAGUUUCGGCGGUUGGGGAUGGACUCGCGGCUUAUCAGCUUGUUGGUGGGGUAGUGGCUUACCAAGGCUUUGACGGGUAGCCGGCCUGAGAGGGUGACCGGCCACGUUGGGACUGAGAUACGGCCCAGACUCCUACGGGAGGCAGCAGUGGGGAAUAUUGCACAAUGGGCGGAAGCCUGAUGCAGCAACGCCGCGUGCGGGAUGACGGCCUUCGGGUUGUAAACCGAUUUCGCCUGUGACGAAGCGUGAGUGACGGUAAUGGGUAAAGAAGCACCGGCUAACUACGUG
RNAcentral lists this ribosomal RNA (468 nucleotides) under uncultured bacterium. Its description in RNAcentral is "partial 16S ribosomal RNA". It matches the Rfam family "Bacterial small subunit ribosomal RNA", at positions 28 to 507 of the family's 1533-position model. The record is from RNAcentral.